This 867-nucleotide ribosomal RNA is filed under the name Companilactobacillus paralimentarius. RNAcentral's name for it is "bacterial SSU rRNA". It matches the Rfam family "Bacterial small subunit ribosomal RNA", at positions 64 to 913 of the family's 1533-position model. The record is from RNAcentral. Lineage: Bacteria; Bacillati; Bacillota; Bacilli; Lactobacillales; Lactobacillaceae.
GAUUGAAGCUUGCUUCAUGAUUCAGACCUUGGUGAGUGGCGGACGGGUGAGUAACACGUGGGUAACCUGCCCAGAAGUGGGGGAUAACAUUUGGAAACAAGUGCUAAUACCGCAUAACAACUUAGAUCACAUGAUCUUUGUUUAAAAGAUGGUUUUGCUAUCUCUUCUGGAUGGACCCGCGGCGUAUUAGCUAGUUGGUGAGGUAAUAGCUCACCAAGGCGAUGAUACGUAGCCGACCUGAGAGGGUAAUCGGCCACAUUGGGACUGAGACACGGCCCAAACUCCUACGGGAGGCAGCAGUAGGGAAUCUUCCACAAUGGACGAAAGUCUGAUGGAGCAAUGCCGCGUGAGUGAAGAAGGUUUUCGGAUCGUAAAACUCUGUUGUUGAAGAAGAACAUAUGUGAGAGUAACUGUUCACGUACUGACGGUAUUCAACCAGAAAGCCACGGCUAACUACGUGCCAGCAGCCGCGGUAAUACGUAGGUGGCAAGCGUUGUCCGGAUUUAUUGGGCGUAAAGAGAAUGUAGGCGGUUUAUUAAGUUUGAAGUGAAAGCCCUCGGCUCAACCGAGGAAGUGCUUCGAAAACUGGUAAACUUGAGUGCAGAAGAGGAAAGUGGAACUCCAUGUGUAGCGGUGGAAUGCGUAGAUAUAUGGAAGAACACCAGUGGCGAAGGCGGCUUUCUGGUCUGUAACUGACGCUGAGAUUCGAAAGCAUGGGUAGCAAACAGGAUUAGAUACCCUGGUAGUCCAUGCCGUAAACGAUGAGUGCUAAGUGUUGGAGGGUUUCCGCCCUUCAGUGCUGCAGCUAACGCAUUAAGCACUCCGCCUGGGGAGUACGAUCGCAAGAUUGAAACUCAAAGGAAUUGA